RNAcentral lists this ribosomal RNA (530 nucleotides) under uncultured bacterium. Its description in RNAcentral is "bacterial SSU rRNA". It matches the Rfam family "Bacterial small subunit ribosomal RNA", at positions 15 to 518 of the family's 1533-position model. The record is from RNAcentral.
GAUCCUGGCUUAGGACGAACGCUGGCGGCGUGCCUAAUACAUGCAAGUCGAACGGUCUUUCUAUGGAAGCUUGCUUCCACUGAGAAGAUAGUGGCGAACGGGUGAGUAACACGUGGGUAACCUGCCCAUAAGAGGGGGAUAACAUCCGGAAACGGGUGCUAAUACCGCAUAGUUUUCUUGAUCGCAUGAUCGGGAAAGGAAAGACGGCCUUUGUGCUGUCGCUUAUGGAUGGACCCGCGGCGUAUUAGUUAGUUGGUGAGGUAACGGCUCACCAAGACGAUGAUACGUAGCCGACCUGAGAGGGUGAUCGGCCACAUUGGGACUGAGACACGGCCCAAACUCCUACGGGAGGCAGCAGUAGGGAAUCUUCCGCAAUGGACGAAAGUCUGACGGAGCAACGCCGCGUGAGUGAAAGAAGGUUUUCGGAUCGUAAAACUCUGUUGUCAGAGAAGAACAAGUUGGAGAGUAACUGCUCCAGCCUUGACGGUAUCUGACCAGAAAGCCACGGCUAACUACGUGCCAGCCGCGGC